UCCCUCGCUUUUCUUUUUUUAUUUCUUUUUUUUUUUUUUAUUUUAUUUUAUUCCCUUCCAUCAUUCCUUAAGUCCCAUAGGGUUGAUCCUAUAGAAUCUGAUCCAUUUUCUCGUUUGAGCGAAGGGUACGAAAUAGAUCGGAUUGAUUUUUCGAUCAAAAGUACUAUGUGAAAUCUUCGGUUUUUUCCUCUUUCUCUAUCCUUAUCCCAUAGGUACAGCAUUUGAAUCAAUAGAGAACUUUUUCUUCUGUAUCUAUAUGAAUCGAUAUUAUUCCAUUCCAAUUCCUUCCCGAUACCUCCCAAGGAAAAUCCCGAAUUGGAUCCCAAAUUGACGGGUUAGUGUGAGCUUAUCCAUGCGGUUAUGCACUCUUCGAAUGGGAAUCCUUUUUCUGAAAGAUCCUGGCUUUCGUGCUUUGGUGGGUCUCCGAGAUCCUUUCGACGACCUAUGUUGUGUUGAAGGGAUAUCUAUAUGAUCCGAUCGAUUGUGUAAAGCCCGCCGGUAGCAACGGAACGGGGGAAAGUAUACAUAAGUAUACAGAAAAGACAGUUUCUUUUCUAUUAUAUUAGUAUUUUCUAUUCUAUUAGUAUUAGAUUAGUAUUAGUUAGCGAUCCCGGCUCAGCGAGUCCUUUCUUCCUGUUGGCACCAGUCCUACAUUUUGUCUCUGUGGACCGAGGAGAAAG
This 680-nucleotide long non-coding RNA is filed under the name Citrus maxima (pomelo). RNAcentral's name for it is "long non-coding RNA (CMAX_LNC004290)". The record is from RNAcentral. Lineage: Eukaryota; Viridiplantae; Streptophyta; Magnoliopsida; Sapindales; Rutaceae.